Molecule: ribosomal RNA, 475 nt
Filed under: uncultured bacterium
Lineage: Bacteria
Description: bacterial SSU rRNA
Rfam family: Bacterial small subunit ribosomal RNA
Source: RNAcentral
CGCUAACACUCCUACGGGAGGCAGCAGUGGGGGAAUAUUGCACAAUGGGCGCAAGCCUGAUGCAGCCAUGCCGCGUGUAUGAAGAAGGCCUUCGGGUUGUAAAGUACUUUCAGCAGUGAGGAAGGUUCAUGCGUUAAUAGCGUAUGGAUUUGACGUUAGCUGCAGAAGAAGCACCGGCUAACUCCGUGCCAGCAGCCGCGGUAAUACGGAGGGUGCGAGCGUUAAUCGGAAUUACUGGGCGUAAAGCGCAUGCAGGUGGUUUGUUAAGUCAGAUGUAGAAAGGCCCGGGGCUCAACCUCGGAAUUGCAUUUGAAACUGGCAGACUAGAGUACUGUAGAGGGGGUAGAAUUUCAGGUGUAGCGGUGAAAUGCGUAGAGAUCUGAAGGAAUACCGGUGGCGAAGGCGGCCCCCUGGACAGAUACUGACACUCAGAUGCGAAAGCGUGGGGAGCAAACAGGAUUAGAUACCCUGGUAG